Molecule: ribosomal RNA, 456 nt
Filed under: uncultured bacterium
Lineage: Bacteria
Description: bacterial SSU rRNA
Rfam family: Bacterial small subunit ribosomal RNA
Source: RNAcentral
UACGGAAGGCAGCAGUGGGGAAUAUUGCACAAUGGGCGAAAGCCUGAUGCAGCUAUGCCGCGUGUAUGAAGAAGGCCUUAGGGUUGUAAAGUACUUUUCAUCGGGGAGGAAAAACAAAACUAAUAAUUUUAUUUCUUGACGUUACCCGAAAAAGAAGCACCGGCUAACUCCGUGCCAGCAGCCGCGGUAAUACGGAGGGUGCUAGCGUUAAUCAGAAUUACUGGGCGUAAAGAGCACGUAGGUGGUUUUUUUAAGUCAGAUGUGAAAUCCCUGGGCUUAACCUGGAACUGCAUUUUGAAACUGAAAUACUAGAGUAUCGUAGAGGGAGGUAGAAUUCUAGGUGUAGCGGUGAAAUGCGUAGAUAUCUGGAGGAAUACCUGUGGCGAAAGCGGCCUCCUAAACGAAUACUGACACUGAGGGUGCGAAAGCGUGGGGAGCAAACAGGGAUUAGAUACC